GACGGAGGAUGCAAGUGUUAUCCGGAAUCACUGGGCGUAAAGCGUCUGUAGGUGGUUUAAUAAGUCAACUGUUAAAUCUUGAGGCUCAACCUCAAAAUCGCAGUCGAAACUAUUAGGCUAGAGUAUAGUAGGGGUAAAGGGAAUUUCCAGUGGAGCGGUGAAAUGCGUAGAGAUUGGAAAGAACACCGAUGGUGAAGGCACUUUACUGGGCUAUUACUAACACUCAGAGACGAAAGCUAGGGUAGCAAAUGGG
Molecule: ribosomal RNA, 253 nt
Filed under: uncultured bacterium
Lineage: Bacteria
Description: partial 16S ribosomal RNA
Rfam family: Bacterial small subunit ribosomal RNA
Source: RNAcentral